CCCCUAUGAUGAUGAUGAUGAUGAUGAUGAUGAUGAUGAUGAUACUUUUAAGCUGUACAUUUUGAGCGUGUGUGUACCAUCAUCACUAUCUCCAUCACCAUUAUCAUCAUUG
RNAcentral lists this microRNA precursor (112 nucleotides) under Bigelowiella natans CCMP2755. RNAcentral describes it as "miRNA EPrBNAG00000013179". Lineage: Eukaryota; Cercozoa; Chlorarachniophyceae. The record is from RNAcentral.